GACCUCAAAUCAGGUAGGACUACCCGCUGAACUUAAGCAUAUCAAUAAGCGGAGGAAAAGAAACUAACAAGGAUUCCCCUAGUAACUGCGAGUGAAGCGGGAAAAGCUCAAAUUUAAAAUCUGGCAGUCUUUUGGCUGUCCGAGUUGUAAUCUAGAGAAGUGUUAUCCGCGCUGGACCAUGUACAAGUCUCCUGGAAUGGAGCAUCAUAGAGGGUGAGAAUCCCGUCUUUGACAUGGACUUCCAGGGCUUUGUGAUGCGCUCUCAAAGAGUCGAGUUGUUUGGGAAUGCAGCUCAAAAUGGGUGGUAAAUUCCAUCUAAAGCUAAAUAUUGGCGAGAGACCGAUAGCGAACAAGUACCGUGAGGGAAAGAUGAAAAGAACUUUGGAAAGAGAGUUAAACAGUACGUGAAAUUGCUGAAAGGGAAACGCUUGAAGUCAGUCGCGUCGUCCAGGGAUCAACCUUGCUUUUGCUUGGUGCACUUCCUGGUUUGAUGGGUCAGCAUCAAUUUUGACUAUUGGAAAAAGGUUAAGGGAAUGUGGCAUCUUUGGAUGUGUUUAUAGCCCUUGGUCACAUACAAUGGUUGGGAUUGAGGAACUCAGCACGCCGCAAGGCCGGGUUUAAACCACGUACGUGCUAGAUG
This 640-nucleotide ribosomal RNA is filed under the name Cortinarius traganus. RNAcentral describes it as "eukaryotic LSU rRNA". It matches the Rfam family "Eukaryotic large subunit ribosomal RNA", at positions 1 to 625 of the family's 3401-position model. Lineage: Eukaryota; Fungi; Basidiomycota; Agaricomycetes; Agaricales; Cortinariaceae. The record is from RNAcentral.